UACGGGGGGAGCAAGCGUUGUUCGGAUUUACUGGGCGUAAAGGGCGCGUAGGCGGUAGCACAAGUCAGUUGUGAAAUCUCCGGGCUUAACUCGGAAAGGUCAACUGAUACUGUGCGACUAGAGUGCAGAAGGGGCAACUGGAAUUCCUGGUGUAGCGGUGGAAUGCGCAGAUAUCAGGAGGAACACCGAUGGCGAAGGCAGCUCGCUGGGACGGUACUGACACUGAGGCGCGAAAGCGUGGGGAGCGAACAGG
This 253-nucleotide ribosomal RNA is filed under the name uncultured bacterium. RNAcentral describes it as "partial 16S ribosomal RNA". It matches the Rfam family "Bacterial small subunit ribosomal RNA", at positions 524 to 776 of the family's 1533-position model. The record is from RNAcentral.